GUGCUGUGAUGACGAUCUUAGGACACCUUUGGAGGUCAAAGGCCUGUGAAACCAACAUUGCUCUGAGCAUG
Small nucleolar RNA from Megalops cyprinoides (Indo-Pacific tarpon), 71 nucleotides. RefSeq annotates it as small nucleolar RNA SNORD58. Lineage: Eukaryota; Metazoa; Chordata; Actinopteri; Elopiformes; Megalopidae. The record is from RefSeq and is a predicted model, not a curated record. The transcript has a single exon.